CUCUGUUAAUCCUGCUGCCUUUCACUCACAAUUCCUUGUUUUAUUUAUAUGUUCUGUGAUCUCUAAUUAAGAGCAUAUGUUUUCUAAAUUCUGUGGGGCUUUGUUGAGGCUUGAUGUGAGGAUGUGUUCAGCAAGAAAGAACUUGUCUACUUUCUUUAGGUCUCAGAAAGCUACAAGCCCCCAGAUCUUCUUUAGACCAAAAUGCUUAAUUGAAAAUAACAUGAAUUCAAGCUCAAAGGCCAUUAAGGAGCAGACCUAUGGACAAAAAAUAUUUUGGAAAACGAUUGCUUCUUCUCCCUUUCCCCAAAGCCCGUCUAGUCAGCUUUUUAUAAAAACAAUAAUGAAGAAUAAGGCAUGCCUGGGUGGCUCAGUCGAUUGAACUUCCCACUUGGGCUCAGGUCAUGAUCUCAUGGUUUGGGAGUUGGAGCCCUGCAUCUGGCUCUCUGCUGUCAGUGUGGAGCCUGCUUCGGAUCCUCUGUUGCUCGCUCUCUUUCUCUCUCUCUCUCUCUCUCUGCCCCUUCCCCACUCAUGUACUCUCUUUCAAAAAUAAAUAAACUUAAAAAAAAUAUUGAAGUAUAGUUGACACAAAGUUAUAUUAGUUUCAGGUGUACACCAUAGUGAUUCAAAUUCUAUGCAUUACUCAGCACUCACCAUGAUAAGUGUAGUCACCUCUGUCACUAGACAAUGUUAUCACAAUAUUAUUGACAAUAUUCCUUAUGGUGUAUUUUUCAUCUCGGCAACUUUUUUAGUUUGUUUUCCAUUUACACAUAUGCUUGUUUUCUUCUUUAUUUGUUCAUUUUUAUUAUAUUUCUGGCUUGAACUAGGUUUCAUUGGUUUGGAAAUGUCAUACCAUGUUUUUAUUCAUCUAGGAUUGUUUUUUUGUUGUUGUUGUUAGUUCUUAAGGUAUAAUUCACGGUGGUAUCGAGACCUUGCAUGUAUGGUUUGAUACAUUUUUAAUUUUUUUUAAAUUUAUUUUUGACAGACAGAGAGAGAGAGCAAGAAAACGGUAGGGUCAGAGAGAGAGGGAGGCACAGAAUCUGAAGCAGGCUUUAGGCUCUGAGCUAGCUGUCAGCACAGAGCCUGACGCAGGGCUCGAACCCAGGAACCAUGAGAUGAUGACCUGAGCCGAAGCUGAACGUUUAAUCGGCUAAGCCACCCAGGCACCCCUUGAUCCAUUUUUAAAAUGCAACUCUACAAACUACAUCCUUGCCAAGGUCUCUCUCCUCUAAGAAAUUUCCUUCCCAGUUGAACUCUGCCACCAGCAACAAGCACUGUUCUCAUUUCUAUAACCACAAAUUCAUUAUGCAAAUUCUAGAAUUUCAUCUAAGUGGAGCCAUACCGCCUAGCACUUUCAUGUCUGCCUUACUUUGGUCAGCACAUGUCAUAGACUUCAGUCCAUGUGACUGUGCCUAUCAGCAACUCAUUCCUUUAUUUUGCUGAGCAGUAUUCCAAUGUAUGAAAUACCAGAAUUUGUUUAUCCAUUCAUCUCUUAUUGGAUAUUUGGUUCGUUUCCAAAUGUGUGCUAUCAUGAAUAAACCUAUAAUAAACAUUCUUAUAUAAGUCUUUCUGGGUGGGUAUGCAUGUGAAGAAUUGUAAAAAGUCCACGAUUUUAC
Molecule: long non-coding RNA, 1613 nt
Organism: Suricata suricatta (meerkat)
Lineage: Eukaryota; Metazoa; Chordata; Mammalia; Carnivora; Herpestidae
Source: Ensembl